This 377-nucleotide ribosomal RNA is filed under the name uncultured bacterium. RNAcentral describes it as "bacterial SSU rRNA". It matches the Rfam family "Bacterial small subunit ribosomal RNA", at positions 523 to 898 of the family's 1533-position model. The record is from RNAcentral.
AUACGUAUGUCCCGAGCGUUAUCCGGAUUUAUUGGGCGUAAAGCGAGCGCAGACGGUUCGUUAAGUCUGAAGUGAAAGCCCACAGCUCAACUGUGGAAUGGCUUUGGAAACUGGCGAACUUGAGUGCAGUAGAGGCAAGUGGAACUCCAUGUGUAGCGGUGGAAUGCGUAGAUAUAUGGAAGAACACCAGUGGCGAAGGCGGCUUGCUGGACUGUAACUGACGUUGAGGCUCGAAAGUGUGGGUAGCAAACAGGAUUAGAUACCCUGGUAGUCCACACCGUAAACGAUGAGUGCUAGGUGUUAGGAGGUUUCCGCCUCUUAGUGCCGGAGCUAACGCAUUAAGCACUCCGCCUGGGGAGUACGACCGCAAGGUUGAA